This is a long non-coding RNA of Drosophila mojavensis, 847 nucleotides long. RefSeq lists it as uncharacterized. The transcript has 2 exons. Lineage: Eukaryota; Metazoa; Arthropoda; Insecta; Diptera; Drosophilidae. The record is from RefSeq and is a predicted model, not a curated record.
AAAAUAUUAACAUAAAUUUAAAAAAGCAAAAAUGUUGAAAAAUAGCAGUAGAAAACGCAAUAUUAAAAAUACAUAUUAGACUUGAAUCAUAUAUCAUCUCGAAUCCAUCUGAUUGAAGUUAACACGCAUCAGUUGCGCAGCUACAGUCCGAAUUUUAAACUGAACACCUUUUCCACACGACUUUCGGAAACAAAAGUAACGGAACAUUGGAAACUAUGAAACUCGGAUGAAGCAAAAAUACACGCACAUACUCAAUCAAUAAUUACCUGCAGUGACCUACAAUGACUUACCAAUAUUUACCGGACUUACCAAUAAUCAAGAAUCACGAAUCACCUUACAAACCGCACAUGCCCCACGGGUAAUUCGCCUAACACGUGACGGCGCGCAAGUACGCGCGACCGAUUCUCGUGAGCUAUGCGAAUUUGCCAUCAUGGAUCAUAUGUAUAAAAAAAAAAAAAAAAAAAGAAGUUAAUCGGCCAAUGCGAUUUCAAGCUUACGGUACCGCGACCGCACCACCUGAACCAGACAUUACCAUUCCACUACGCGUCGCCACAUAUCCAUACCACCUAUACUAUAAAAUCGUCUUAGGUUGGGAAUACGCAAAUAUUUUGGAACGGUUAAUGUUGCUUGAAGCACACUAUAGAGAUCAUUCUACUAAUCGCACAUACAACGCCACACUUUACCACGCCACACCAUACCUCACCACACCGCACCACACGGUCGUCGCGCAGGAUAGCGUUCUUGAAAGCGAGGUUGGCCUAUCCGGUUUGCUGCACUAGUCAAUCGUAUGAAAUAUAUGCUUAACUUUCAAAUAUAUAUAUCCUACACUGUGAAUGCAUGCAAAGAA